GCUAGCUUCGGGCCAGCAGCAGGGGGAAUGCGAGGGGGGGUGGGUUUGUUCGGAAGCGCUGGGCGUAAAGGGCGCGUAGGCGGCGUUGUAAGUCGGGGGGGAAAGCCUGUGGCUCAACCACAGAAUUGCCUUCGAUACUGCAUGGCUUGAGACCGGAAGAGGUAAGUGGAACUGCGAGUGUAGAGGUGAAAUUCGUAGAUAUUCGCAAGAACACCAGUGGCGAAGGCGGCUUACUGGUCCGGUUCUGACGCUGAGGCGCGAAAGCGUGGGGAGCAAACAGGAUUAGAUUGCCCUGUAGUC
Molecule: ribosomal RNA, 300 nt
Filed under: uncultured Microscilla sp.
Lineage: Bacteria; Pseudomonadati; Bacteroidota; Cytophagia; Cytophagales; Microscillaceae
Description: partial 16S ribosomal RNA
Rfam family: Bacterial small subunit ribosomal RNA
Source: RNAcentral